Molecule: ribosomal RNA, 548 nt
Filed under: uncultured Glomeromycotina
Lineage: Eukaryota; Fungi; Glomeromycota
Description: SSU rRNA
Rfam family: Eukaryotic small subunit ribosomal RNA
Source: RNAcentral
UUGGAGGGCAAGUCUGGUGCCAGCAGCCGCGGUAAUUCCAGCUCCAAUAGCGUAUAUUAAAGUUGUUGCAGUUAAAAAGCUCGUAGUUGAAUUUCGGGGUCAGUAGGCUGGUCGUGCCUCAGGUACGUACUGGUCUUACUGAUUCCUCCUUCCUGACGAACCGUAAUGCCAUUAAUUUGGUGUUGCGGGGAAUCUGGACUGUUACUUUGAAAAAAUUAGAGUGUUUAAAGCAGGCUAACGCUUGAAUACAUUAGCAUGGAAUAAUGAAAUAGGACGAUCGAUCCUAUUUUGUUGGUUUCUAGGAUUGACGUAAUGAUUAAUAGGGAUAGUUGGGGGCAUUAGUAUUUAAUUGUCAGAGGUGAAAUUCUUGGAUUUAUUGAAGACUAACUACUGCGAAAGCAUUUGCCAAGGAUGUUUUCAUUAAUCAAGAACGAAAGUUAGGGGAUCGAAGACGAUCAGAUACCGUCGUAGUCUUAACCAUAAACUAUGCCGACUAGGGAUCGGAUGAUGUUAAUUUUUUAAUGACUCAUUCGGCGCCUUACGGGAAA